Molecule: transfer RNA, 66 nt
Filed under: Camelus bactrianus (Bactrian camel)
Lineage: Eukaryota; Metazoa; Chordata; Mammalia; Artiodactyla; Camelidae
Also listed under: 2 other names
Rfam family: tRNA
About the family: Transfer RNA (tRNA) molecules are approximately 80 nucleotides in length. Their secondary structure includes four short double-helical elements and three loops (D, anti-codon, and T loops). Further hydrogen bonds mediate the characteristic L-shaped molecular structure. tRNAs have two regions of fundamental functional importance: the anti-codon, which is responsible for specific mRNA codon recognition, and the 3' end, to which the tRNAs corresponding amino acid is attached (by aminoacyl-tRNA synthetases). tRNAs cope with the degeneracy of the genetic code in two manners: having more than one tRNA (with a specific anti-codon) for a particular amino acid; and 'wobble' base-pairing, i.e. permitting non-standard base-pairing at the 3rd anti-codon position.
Source: Rfam by way of RNAcentral
GAGGGUAUAGCUCAGUGGUAGAGUCUAGCAUUCACAAGGUCCUGGGUUCAAUCCCCAGUACCUCCA